UAGUAAAGUAAGCUAAAAAUAAAGCUAGUGGGUUCAUACCCCAAAAAUGAACAUGUCCUUUACUAA
Molecule: transfer RNA, 66 nt
Filed under: Amblyomma ovale
Lineage: Eukaryota; Metazoa; Arthropoda; Arachnida; Ixodida; Ixodidae
Description: tRNA-Met
Source: RNAcentral